CAUGCAAGUCGAGCGAAGCACUCUGCUUUGAUUCUUUCGGGAUGAAGAGCAUUGUGACUGAGCGGCGGACGGGUGAGUAACGCGUGGGUAACCUGCCUCAUACAGGGGGAUAACAGUUAGAAAUGGCUGCUAAUACCGCAUAAGACCACAGCACCGCAUGGUGCAGGGGUAAAAACUCCGGUGGUAUGAGAUGGACCCGCGUCUGAUUAGCUAGUUGGUGGGGUAACGGCCUACCAAGGCGACGAUCAGUAGCCGACCUGAGAGGGUGACCGGCCACAUUGGGACUGAGACACGGCCCAAACUCCUACGGGAGGCAGCAGUGGGGAAUAUUGCACAAUGGGGGAAACCCUGAUGCAGCGACGCCGCGUGAGCGAAGAAGUAUUUCGGUAUGUAAAGCUCUAUCAGCAGGGAAGAAAAUGACGGUACCUGACUAAGAAGCCCCGGCUAACUACGUGCCAGCAGCCGCGGUAAUACGUAGGGGGCAAGCGUUAUCCGGAUUUACUGGGUGUAAAGGGAGCGUAGACGGCGAGGCAAGUCUGAUGUGAAAACCCGGGGCUCAACCCCGUGACUGCAUUGGAAACUGUUUUGCUUGAGUGCCGGAGAGGUAAGCGGAAUUCCUAGUGUAGCGG
This 629-nucleotide ribosomal RNA is filed under the name uncultured bacterium. Its description in RNAcentral is "bacterial SSU rRNA". It matches the Rfam family "Bacterial small subunit ribosomal RNA", at positions 54 to 681 of the family's 1533-position model. The record is from RNAcentral.